Molecule: unclassified non-coding RNA, 167 nt
Filed under: soil metagenome
Description: partial contains 5.8S ribosomal RNA, internal transcribed spacer 2, and large subunit ribosomal RNA
Source: RNAcentral
AACGGUCUAUACCUGCGGUACCUGCGGAAGGAUCAUUAGUGAACGCCCUCACGGGCUUAUAACUAUUCCAAACCUCUGUGAACCGUGCCCUUCGGGGCUAUUUUACAAACAUGGUGUAAUGAACGUCAUAUAUCAUAACAAAACAGAACUUUUAGCAACGGAUCUCU